AAAAAAAAAAAAGGAUGGCAGAUUAUAAAGUGCAUUCAGAUUAAACUUUUAAAUUCGUUUGCUCAUAAUAAUCCCCACUGCAGUAAAAUAUAUUAAAUCUGAUUUUAAUCACAUUACAGGACAUACACUUUAAAAGUUUUUGUUCACUCUAAAAAUGUGAGCCUGCUCUAGUGCAGCAGACAGAUUAGGCCUUCCUUCAAGAACAAAAGAUGAAACACUUACACUUUCCGGCUUUCUCUUACAUAUUUAUAUUGCUUUUCCGUGUCAGAGCUGUUACCACAGAAUACAUAUUAUUAUUAAAUUCAGAUUGCAUAUAUUGAAUUGUCUUAGCGGGUGUAAUCCUAUGCUCAGUGUAGUUUGAUUCACAACCAAAUGACUCUUUUUAAAGGUUAAGUGCAUUAAAUCAGACAGAGCCACCAGUAGCUAUAGUUAUUAUGGCGCCAUAUGGCGAGUCCGAUAUGGCAACACUAGAUUGUGCGUUAAAUAUAUUUACUUAAUUACCUUUUGCAGCUGAAGUAUUCCUCUUGAAAACUGUGCCCGCAGAAUGCUCCUCACAGCAUACACUCCAAAAACCAUUUUUUUUCUUAUCAGUACCACGAGUUUUAAUUUGUAUUCGGCGUAGGCUAAUAUUUAUACGCAUUUUCAUGAUAACCCAGGAUUUUUUAGAGUAUAUUUGAGUUUUGCAAGCUCGUGCACUCUUUUUUAUGUAUUCCUAAUAUAAAUUGUAUGAGUGCUAGUUUUGUCCCAAAGCUCUCCUUUCCUCCUCAGAACUGCUGGGCAGUGACUGCAGGGUAGUGCAUUAUUGUUCAAGCUCGUGACGUAGACGAAAGUGAAACUAACCUCAGCGUUACGCUCGUGCAUCAGAUCAGUUCACAUUUCAUUUUAAAUUCAAUUAGGCAAUUUUCAAAGUCAUUCAAAAUGACUUUUCAGGUCAAUUCUACAGAUUUAAAACCUGACACAGAAAUAAAAGAAUUUGUGGCAACGGCAGAGGAAGAGUUCAAGAACAGCACUGAAAAGACAGAAAGAAAGCUCGUUCCUGAAGAUGAGGAUGACGAGGAUUCUGGAGGCUCCGGACAUGUCCUGCCACAGCGGAAACCAAUGUUCGCUGGAGGCUCUGGACUUGUCCUGCCACAGUGGAAACAAAGAUUUUUCUAUUUUGCUAAAUCUAGACGAGUCAAGCCACAGUGGAAAGAAGUAUAUCCUUGUGAGAUUAUUACAAUAAACCCUCAUCUUGAAGAUAAAGAUGAGGAUGAAGAAAUGGAAAUGUCCAGGACUCAGUCUAUGGACAACUUGGCUCUGAUGCAGAAGCCUCUCUAGCAGUGAUGUGUUUUGAAGUUUGAUUUCGGGUGAAUCAAAGCUUCAUCCGGCAGACCAAGGAUUGAAAAUAAAGCAUCCAUAACCAGUUCCUUAUCA
Long non-coding RNA from Cyprinus carpio (common carp), 1413 nucleotides. The record is from Ensembl. Lineage: Eukaryota; Metazoa; Chordata; Actinopteri; Cypriniformes; Cyprinidae.